RNAcentral lists this ribosomal RNA (1368 nucleotides) under Serratia marcescens. Its description in RNAcentral is "partial 23S ribosomal RNA". It matches the Rfam family "Bacterial large subunit ribosomal RNA", at positions 1581 to 2925 of the family's 2925-position model. Lineage: Bacteria; Pseudomonadati; Pseudomonadota; Gammaproteobacteria; Enterobacterales; Yersiniaceae. The record is from RNAcentral.
GGUGCAGAAGUAGUUGAUGCCCUGCUUCCAGGAAAAUCCUCUAAGCUCCAGGUAACAUUAAAUCGUACCCCAAACCGACACAGGUGGUCAGGUAGAGAAUACCAAGGCGCUUGAGAGAACUCGGGUGAAGGAACUAGGCAAAAUGGUGCCGUAACUUCGGGAGAAGGCACGCUGGCAUGUAGGUGAAGUCCCUUGCGGAUGGAGCUGAAGCCAGUCGAAGAUACCAGCUGGCUGCAACUGUUUAAUAAAAACACAGCACUGUGCAAACACGAAAGUGGACGUAUACGGUGUGACGCCUGCCCGGUGCUGGAAGGUUAAUUGAUGGGGUCAGCCGCAAGGCGAAGCUCUUGAUCGAAGCCCCAGUAAACGGCGGCCGUAACUAUAACGGUCCUAAGGUAGCGAAAUUCCUUGUCGGGUAAGUUCCGACCUGCACGAAUGGCGUAAUGAUGGCCAGGCUGUCUCCACCCGAGACUCAGUGAAAUUGAACUCGCUGUGAAGAUGCAGUGUACCCGCGGCAAGACGGAAAGACCCCGUGAACCUUUACUAUAGCUUGACACUGAACAUUGAGCCUUGAUGUGUAGGAUAGGUGGGAGGCUUUGAAGCGUGGACGCCAGUCUGCGUGGAGCCAUCCUUGAAAUACCACCCUUUAAUGUUUGAUGUUCUAACUCUGCCCCAUAAUCUGGGGUGAGGACAGUGUCUGGUGGGUAGUUUGACUGGGGCGGUCUCCUCCCAAAGAGUAACGGAGGAGCACGAAGGUUAGCUAAUCACGGUCGGACAUCGUGAGGUUAGUGCAAAGGCAUAAGCUAGCUUGACUGCGAGAGUGACGGCUCGAGCAGGUACGAAAGUAGGUCUUAGUGAUCCGGUGGUUCUGAAUGGAAGGGCCAUCGCUCAACGGAUAAAAGGUACUCCGGGGAUAACAGGCUGAUACCGCCCAAGAGUUCAUAUCGACGGCGGUGUUUGGCACCUCGAUGUCGGCUCAUCACAUCCUGGGGCUGAAGUAGGUCCCAAGGGUAUGGCUGUUCGCCAUUUAAAGUGGUACGCGAGCUGGGUUUAGAACGUCGUGAGACAGUUCGGUCCCUAUCUGCCGUGGGCGUUGGAAGAUUGAGAGGGGUUGCUCCUAGUACGAGAGGACCGGAGUGAACGCACCACUGGUGUUCGGGUUGUCAUGCCAAUGGCAUUGCCCGGUAGCUAAGUGCGGAAAAGAUAAGCGCUGAAAGCAUCUAAGCGCGAAACUUGCCUCAAGAUGAGUCUUCCCUUGGACUUUGAGUCCACUGAAGGAACGUUUAAGACUAAGACGUUGAUAGGCUGGGUGUGUAAGUGCAGCGAUGCAUUGAGCUAACCAGUACUAAUGAUCCGUGAGGCUUAACC